This is a long non-coding RNA of Hyaena hyaena (striped hyena), 705 nucleotides long. RefSeq lists it as uncharacterized. The transcript has 3 exons. NCBI's taxonomy places the organism in Eukaryota, Metazoa, Chordata, Mammalia, Carnivora, Hyaenidae. The record is from RefSeq and is a predicted model, not a curated record.
ACCUGGAUCAACGCGGCCACGUGGCCGGCUUGCGCCCAAACCGCGUGUCCACCAGGCGGGUUGUCGCCCUGCGCGCUUUCCGCACGCACACGCUGACGGCACUGUUGGCUCGCAGACCACGGGCGUCCUGGGGGCCCCCCUGGUCCCAGCGUCCUCCCAGGCGGCGGGUCCGAGACUAGCUCUGCAGCCCCGGGACGCUUCCAACGGCUGGAAUUCUUUGGGCAACGUCGUGGGAGCAGCCCUCUCGGGCCCGAAUCUAAUGAUGUCACCUCACGAGGCGCGAUAAGCUGUCCAUCCAGGUCUCACCUACAGGUCUGCACCCCACCCACCCAGGACCAGGGCGUCUGGACUUGUCUCUGGCCUUUACUGCUCCCGCAGGGCCUGUACUCUUGCCAAAGCCCUCCCUUAUCGGUGUUGAGAUCGCCUCCCCAUACUUGCGGAGGACAGACCUGCAAGCCAUCUCUCAGCCAGAUCCCAGGGGGCCGCUGUGGGGGCAGAAUGGCAGAGGGGCAGCUUGAAGUCUGGCGUGCUUCAGUGGAGUAAUGUGUCACUUCAGCAGAAUGCUUAGGAGGCACUGUCUCAGUGCUGGGCCACAUUAGCCCUGGAUCUGUCCCAACACACUUUAAAAAAGCAAGACCCCAAAGGAUCUACCGAUUCCAAGUAACUGUAUGCCAAAAUGAAAACACUUUUCCAUAAAUAAAAAAA